CACCGCGGUUAUACGAGGGGCCCAAGUUGAUAUUUUCCGGCGUAAAGAGUGGUUAUGGAAUAUAUAAACUAAAGCCGCACCCCUUCAAAGCUGUCAUACGCACCCGAAGGACAGAAGCCCAACCACGAAGGUGGCUUUACAACCCCUGACCCCACGAAAGCUAUGGCA
RNAcentral lists this ribosomal RNA (168 nucleotides) under Scorpaena onaria (ornate scorpionfish). RNAcentral's name for it is "partial 12S rRNA". The record is from RNAcentral. Lineage: Eukaryota; Metazoa; Chordata; Actinopteri; Perciformes; Scorpaenidae.